This 253-nucleotide ribosomal RNA is filed under the name uncultured bacterium. RNAcentral's name for it is "partial 16S ribosomal RNA". It matches the Rfam family "Bacterial small subunit ribosomal RNA", at positions 524 to 776 of the family's 1533-position model. The record is from RNAcentral.
UACGUAGGUGGCAAGCGUUGUCCGGAUUUACUGGGUGUAAAGGGAGCGUAGACGGCGAUGCAAGUCUGAAGUGAAAGCCCGGGGCUCAACCCCGGGACUGCUUUGGAAACUGUAUGGCUGGAGUGCUGGAGAGGCAAGCGGAAUUCCUAGUGUAGCGGUGAAAUGCGUAGAUAUUAGGAAGAACACCAGUGGCGAAGGCGGCUUGCUGGACAGUAACUGACGUUGAGGCUCGAAAGCGUGGGGAGCAAACAGG